This 69-nucleotide transfer RNA is filed under the name Cordylochernes scorpioides. RNAcentral describes it as "tRNA-Gly". It matches the Rfam family "tRNA". From Rfam's summary of the family: Transfer RNA (tRNA) molecules are approximately 80 nucleotides in length. Their secondary structure includes four short double-helical elements and three loops (D, anti-codon, and T loops). Lineage: Eukaryota; Metazoa; Arthropoda; Arachnida; Pseudoscorpiones; Chernetidae. The record is from RNAcentral.
GCUUUUGGUUCAGUGGUAGAAUGCUUGCCUGCCACGCGGGCGCUCCGGGUUCGAUCCCCGGGAGAUGCA